GGGCGUCUGGAUGAUCUUCUGGAAAUGCGGCAGCGUGUACAUCCGCGGCGGAUUCGACGGCAGGCACUUGGCAUGCGGGUCGUCGGCGGAGUUCGCGUCGGAUCGCUGCUUGCGAAGCGCCGCGGCCCACGGCUGGAACGGCAGUGGCUCUUUCGACGUG
This 160-nucleotide unclassified non-coding RNA is filed under the name fungal sp. RNAcentral's name for it is "partial internal transcribed spacer region". Lineage: Eukaryota; Fungi. The record is from RNAcentral.